GAUGAACGCUGGCGGCGUGCCUAAUACAUGCAAGUCGAGCGAACGGACGAGAAGCUUGCUUCUCUGAUGUUAGCGGCGGACGGGUGAGUAACACGUGGAUAACCUACCUAUAAGACUGGGAUGACUUCGGGAAACCGGAGCUAAUACCGGAUAAUAUUUUGAACCGCAUGGUUCAAAAGUAAAAGACGGUCUUGCUGUCACUUAUAGAUGGAUCCGCGCUGCAUUAGCUAGUUGGUAAGGUAACGGCUUACCAAGGCAACGAUGCAUAGCCGACCUGAGAGGGUGAUCGGCCACACUGGAACUGAGACACGGUCCAGACUCCUACGGGAGGCAGCAGUAGGGAAUCUUCCGCAAUGGGCGAAAGCCUGACGGAGCAACGCCGCGUGAGUGAUGAAGGUCUUCGGAUCGUAAAACUCUGUUAUUAGGGAAGAACAUAUGUGUAAGUAACUGUGCACAUCUUGACGGUACCUAAUCAGAAAGCCACGGCUAACUACGUG
Molecule: ribosomal RNA, 497 nt
Filed under: uncultured bacterium
Lineage: Bacteria
Description: partial 16S ribosomal RNA
Rfam family: Bacterial small subunit ribosomal RNA
Source: RNAcentral